UUCUUGGUUUCUUCAAUUCACGGCAGCCAAGGCCCGGCCGGUGCAGCGCACUACCACGACAGACUCGGCGGGCACGCACGAGCACGAGCAUGUCGAGUAGCCGAGGAAGAAAAAGCAUGGACAGGCAGCACGUCGGCGUCAAGGUCACCUACAUCGAGACGCAGUUCGUCACCUCCGACGCCGCCGGCUUCAAGGACCUCGUGCAGCGCCUCACCGGGAGGUCCCCCACCGCCGCCUCCGCGCCGGCUCCGGCGGCGCCGCACAGGCCGCGCGCGUGCCGCGCAGGGGAGGGCAGGACGGGCGCUGCAGCCGGAGCUGGGCCGCAGGGCUGCCACUAUUACCAGCAGCCGGCCGGUGGGGUGCGGCCGGCCGCCGUCGUCGCUAGCUGCGCCCCGCCGUGCCAGGAGAAGCUGCUGCUCAGCAUGGACGACGACUUCUCGGACCUGUUCUACGCCGGUGCCAUCGAUCAGCGGCGUCAUGGCCUCAAUGGUGGUUACACCGAUUUUCCACUAUCGAUCGAGACUUACGGCCAUGGUCAGAACUCAGAAGAUUGGCUUUGUCAGAAGAACUAUGAUGUACAAACCAGUUUAUGUGGAGCCAUUCAGUUCAUUUAUUCAUUCUUAGUAUAUAGUGUGUACAUAUGUACUCUGGUUCCCUUGUUUAGAGUACAAUAUUCCUUUGCAAAUCAAAGUUUGGAAGCAAAAGACAGUGUUAGCUCCGAAGAGCUAAAAUUCAGAGUUUAAGCCUUGUGGUCAUUAUGGUGCAUAUAAGAUCAAUUUUGUACUAUAUUUGUGAUGCUAACCAUUACACUAUUUAAACUAUCGGGGAUACUCAUAAGAAUUAUACUAAGUAGAUAUGGAAGGAUUGGUGUGAGGUUGAGUUGGCUAGUAGGUGGAGUAUAAUGCAACACACUAUGAGAUCUUGAGUUUGAAAACCCUUCUCUCUAAAAUUAUAUUAUUUUUGCAAUAUACUUCUAGUCAUCUAGAUGAUAGAGACAUAAUAUUGUGCCAUUACAAGUUGUCUUGCAAAAUAUAGAGACACUUGUAAAAAUAUCUCUUCAUUCAAAGAGACACGUGGCAUCUCUAUGACAUAUUGGAAAACGACUCUAUGACUCUCUAGGGACAACAUAACAUGUCUCUACAGGAUAAAAAUAGUAUCUCUACAUGUGAAACUGUUUUGUAGUGAUACAUUGAUAGUAUAUUUAUUUGAUAUAUUGUAUAUGUUAUGGUCAAAGUUAUACAAAUUCAACUCAAGAAAAAACUAAAAUGACCGAAACACACACAACAGGCAGUGCUUCACUUUUGCCAUUUGGCAUUUCCGUAUUUGGUGUUGUAAUACAGCUUUCCUUGGCUUCCCUCGGAGCAAUAGUUUUUGUUAGCAAUGGCAGUUCGGCCAUACCGGCCAUUCUUCACUGAUUCCAUCAUACAACUGCUAAUGCUAGUCUCAUGGCAAGAAGAAACGGAAACAUACUGUUUAUGGUGCCGCAAACAUCUGUUUUCAACCUCUGUUUCUAAAUAUUUGGUAGUUCUGAUCAAAACACGAUUACUAAGGAACACACAUUUUAAGGAUAAAACAAAGCAGUCAAACUGACAAGUAUUUGAAAAUAGAGGCUAAUAUAAAUGGUGUGUGAUGAUCAAUAAACUCUGUGCUUGUCAUUUUAUUUCCUUUGGCUGAAUUGUCGAGAAUGUGUAUGGUACACAUCACUACAAAAUAUAUAAUAUUUACUAGUUUUUAAUGAGUGUCCAACAAUUUUAAUGGUUGGUACUAUUUUUUUCUAGUGUAUGAUGCAUCUUUCCUAAUAAUUUUAUCAAAUGGCCAACAAUGUAUACCUGACACACUUAUUUUUUAUUCAUAAUUAUGAUAGGGUUUUAUCCAAAUAUAAUAUAAUAGAAACCAUUAGCAAGUGUAAGCGAGCAUUUCAGAAGGAACUUGAGCAACAUUUCUUUUCAAUUUCCAUUCAUGAGUUUCUGUAUGUUCAUCUAAAAAAGAAAAACGGUAAUGCUUAGAUUUUGACGUCCAGCAGGAUUAAAAAUAUCGGAUGCUAGUCCACGGUCCUUACCUUUACUCCGAGCGAAGCGAUAGCGGCUUCUUUCCUCAUUCUUAUCCACUCGUUCCUCAUCCUCGUAUCCUCCACCUCAAGUCUCCAUUAACAGCACUGCCCGCACCACCACUUCCUCGAGCUCCCCUCAUCUCAGCAGCCACACAUAUGGUGCGGCGCCGCCAUCAUGUGGCACCUUGCCGGUGCGUUCCCCGCUCCUCUGCCCUCGCCGCGUGCAGCCACGCUGCUAGAUUCCUCCCCAUCCUCAGCUACACGUCACCAGAUUCGAUCAAGCCCGCGCUAGCAUUCCCACCUGCGUUCCUCGACGAGCGGUCGGGUGAUUUCUCGUGGCGGAGCCUUGCAAGGUGAGCGUCGGCGACGCGGGAGGUUGUGCCCGAUAAGUAGCAACAUGGGCCGCCAAGCUGCUUGAGAUGGGAUGUGCGACGAGAGGUAAUCGAAGGAGCAAGACGGUGACAACGGCCUGACUUGGUAGAUAUAAUGUUGCAAUAAUUAAUUUUCGAUAUUGCUUUAUAUCAUUUUUCAUGUGGCGAUAGGUGAUUUUGGAUGUUGUAGAAAAAUUAAUCAAGAUGUGGUUACAAAGUUGUUUGCUAAUGUUGCAACAAAAGAUACUUUUGUUAUGUUAGUAUUUUCUCGAUGUUGCAUAAGGUGUUCUUAGAGUUUGAAAUGUAUGCAUAUUGUGAUGUUGUUGGCUUUUUUAUGCUUCUUCUAUUGAUUCUUUAUGUUGCAGUGUUUUGUUUGUAGUGUGUCAUUAUAUGCGUUUAAACUUUCCUACCAUGAUUUGCAUGAAAAUGUUGCAAGAAACAACCAAUGAUGUUAUGGUGGGAAUUUUUAUCUAGAAAUAUAUAGAUAUAUUUUCUCAUAUGUCUCGAUAUUGCAAACAUGGAUUUUCGAUGUUGCAAGUGUUUUAUUUUGAUGUUGCAACGAAUCAUGUGAUGGGAAAACUUCCCAUCCGACGUCCGAACGCUAGCAGUGUUGAAAGAAAAAAAAGAAUGCAAAAGUUUUUAGAAAUCCUUAUCUGAGGAAAAAUUAGUACUUUUAUGGUGUACUGGUACGCACCAUUUUUAUUGGACUGAAAAUACGGUCUCACAUUCUGCUAUAUAUAGGGCUCGUUUGGUAGGGUUGCGUCUAUGGCUGAAACGGCUGCGGCUGUAGCUUCUUCGAUGAAACAGCCUUUUUUAGCUUCAGCUUGUCUGGAUGGAAACACGUUUGGCAAAACGGCUUCUCCUACAUGCGUAACAUGGAUAAAAAAUAUAAAAUGUCCAUAAUACCCUUCCUUUUUUUCUUUCCUUUUUCUUUUUUCUCCCUUCCUUUUUUUGUCUUUCCUUCAUUUAUUUAACUUUCUUUCCUCACGCAACGCCAGCCGCAGCCCAGUGCCUUAUCCACUCGCUUCCAUCCGCUUGAGAGCCGGCCUUAUCCACUCGCCCCUGCUUUUCUAUGCUCUACCGUCGCCCUAGCGCCUCCGCUCCACUGCCAGCACCUAGCGCCGCCGUCCGCUGCCCCACGACGCCAGCUCCCAGCACCACCAGCCUGCCGGCCCUAGCGCCGCCUCACUCCGCCUCGCACCCUACGGCCCCAGCGUCGCCGUACUCCACCUCGCGCCCUACGGCCCCAGCGCCGCCAUCGACCGCCCAGCGUCGCCGUCUGCCGACCCCAGCGCUGCCUCCCUUCGCCGCGAGUCAUGGUGGGCAAGAAGGUCAGUUGUCCUGCGGCCGAGGGUAAAGCCGUGGGGAGCCAAUUUUUUUGACUUCUCCUCCACCAAAGGGCUCCAGAGAGCGGAUUUCCCAGAGCUCCUGGACGGGAGCCGUUUUGUUCGUGCUCCUUUAGUAGAGCUUCGGCUUCUGAUGAUGGAGAAGCCGCAGCCAAAGCCCUACCAAAGGAACCCACAGUUUCCGAUGAGGCGUUUUCCCCGUUUCUCCACCAUCGUCUCCGAGGAUCUUCGUUAUCGUGCUUUCAUCGGUCGUACGAUACGCAUACCGCGCCGCACGAGCGCUUGACCGUCUCCCUAUCCAGUCCCCAAAAGUUGACCGUUGCCACUGACUCCCUCUCCCUCCCCCUCCUUACCUGCAGGCUGCGAAAGGCCCGGCGACCGGUCAAACCAGCACCUCAACUUGCUUCCUGUAGCGCUCAGUGCGCCGCAUCGGCGCGACCGCAUGACCAAACCCCCACCCUCUCCCCGUCUCACCGCCAUGCGGGUCCCACUACCUUUUAGCCCCACGUGCCACUGUCCAGGAACUAUCGGCGCCGGCAACUUGCAAACCUACCAGAGAUUCAGAAUAGGUCUUCGCUCAGCCACAUCCUAUAAAUACAGCCCCAAAAAAAGAAGCUUUUCAUCCACUACCACCACCCCAGCUCAGCCAAGCUUCUUCCACGCGAGCCAAGUCUGCGAGGCGAAGCCCACGGUGCGGCGCGCUGCCACGACAGCUGCAGAGUAGAGAGACGUCGAGCGAGCAGUGAAGGGAAGAGGAAGCGAAGCAUGGACGGCGUCAAGGUCACCUACAUCGAGACGCGGUUCGUCACCUCCGACGCCGCCGGCUUCAAGGACCUCGUGCAGCGCCUCACCGGGAGGUCCCCCACCGCCGCCGGGGCUGCGGCGGCGCCGCACAGGCCGGGCGCGUGCCGCGCCACCACCACCGACUGCGGGAGGAGCGCGACCGGCACGCAGGGAUGCUACUACCACGCGUCCGCGUCGUCGUCGUCACCGGCGGCGAACGAGGCGCGCGUCGGUGGCGGCCGCCUCGCGCCGCCGUUCCUGGACGAGACGUACGGCGUCGGAGACUUCGCCGGCCUGCUCUAUGGCAGCGCCAGCCAAAACGCACAGUGGGGGUGUUGAAGACAAAUCAGCCUGAGUGCUGGGGGCGUUUAGUUUCUCGUGUCACAUUGAAUGUAAUUCGGAGGUUAAUUAGGAGAACUAAAUAUGAAUUAAUUAUAAAACUAAUUGCACAGAUGGAGGUUAAACGGCGAGAUAAAUCUAUUAAACCUAAUUAAUCCAUCAUUAGCAAAUGGUUACUGUAGCAGCACAUUGUCAAAUCAUGGACUAAUUAGGCUUAAUAGAUUCGUCUCGCCGUUUAGCCUCCAUCCGUGUAAUGAGUUUUGUAAAUAGUCUACAUUUAACACUCUUAAUCAGUAUCUAAAUAUUCGAUGUGACGGGUGCUAGAGAAGCUAUUCGCUUACCUGGAAACUCACAGCAUGGCCAAGCGUAGCAGUUGAUUAGUUGCCUUGACAUUUAGCUGGCGCUGCACCUCUUCUCUCUUAGGCUGUCCGCACUCGUCAUACUCUAUUUUCAUACUUAAAAGGAAUAUUCUAUUCUAGUUAUCGAGAUUCUUUCCUCCAUAUUAAUUUCUCCUGAACCCGUGUUACUCUAUAUGUAAUCCUCUAUGCCAACUACUCCAUAUUUUAUUCACCCCUCUCCCCUCUCUCUCUCCCCCAACCGUUCCCUUCCCCUUCUCUUCCCCCCAUCUCCCGACGCCUCGCCUCCUGGGCUGUGGGCCUCCUCCCCGCCGGCCCCCCUCCCCCUCCUCCACGGUCCGAUCCUCCUCCCCGCCGGCCCCAAUGCGCCAAUCAAACAUCGGAAAACCCCUCGUGCCCGCGGUUCACCUACUCCUCUAUUUCUUUCACCAAAGCCCCCUCACCUUCUUCUUCCUCCUCUCCUCUUCCUCCCCGACGAUCCGCUGCCGGCGGCUGUUUACUCCACCUUGGUGACUACCCCGUGAGCUCCUCUUCAUAUAGGCGCACCCUCUCCCCCACUACUUCCCCCGAAACCCUACCCUAAUACUUCCCUCAGUGAGCGGCGGCACUCCGGUGGCGAGCGGUGGAACACGCGCGGAAACUCAAACGGCUUGACUCAAAGGCUUAGCGCAUCAUGACCAGGGGCUCACCACAGCUCUUUUUGGGUAGUUGGUCGGAGAAGAGAGGGCCGGGAAGGUGGGCGUCAAUGGUGAGGUGGGUGGUGGCGGGUGGUGGCAAUGGUGGGCGCAGGGGAUUCAAUCCUCUGACGCCAGAGGCCAUGGUACAGGGCAAACAGAGGUGAAGGACGUACCUGUUCCGGUGAGUAGUGUGGGUGGCAGAGAUUUGGAAAUGGGGAAGGGGAAUGNNNNNNNNNNNNNNNNNNNNNNNNNNNNNNNNNNNNNNNNNNNNNNNNNNNNNNNNNNNNNNNNNNNNNNNNNNNNNNNNNNNNNNNNNNNNNNNNNNNNNNNNNNNNNNNNNNNNNNNNNNNNNNNNNNNNNNNNNNNNNNNNNNNNNNNNNNNNNNNNNNNNNNNNNNNNNNNNNNNNNNNNNNNNNNNNNNNNNNNNNNNNNNNNNNNNNNNNNNNNNNNNNNNNNNNNNNNNNNNNNNNNNNNNNNNNNNNNNNNNNNNNNNNNNNNNNNNNNNNNNNNNNNNNNNNNNNNNNNNNNNNNNNNNNNNNNNNNNNNNNNNNNNNNNNNNNNNNNNNNNNNNNNNNNNNNNNNNNNNNNNNNNNNNNNNNNNNNNNNNNAGCUCGUGGCCGCCGCCAAGGUCCAGCGCGCGCAGGAGGCCGUCGUCUCCUCCCGCCCCUUCUCGGAGGCGCUCAUGGAGGUCCUCUAAAACAUGAACCAGGAGAUCCAGACGAAGGACAUCGACCUGCCGCUCACCUGCACCCGCCCCGUCAAGAAAGUGGCCCUCGUGGUCCUCACCCGCGAGCGCGGCCUCUAUGGCAGCUUCAACAACAACGUGCUCAAAAGGCGGACACCCGCAUCGAUGAGCUCAAGCAGCUGGGCCUCGCGCGGCGGCGGUCCGACGGCGGAGUUCCGAGCGGAGGCGCAAGGGGGAAGUCGUUGGGGCAGCAGCCUCGGGAGGCGCGUAGCGGGCGUCUUGGGCUUCCACUAGGAGUAGCGGACGGGGUGGCCGUCCGCUUGGGAGAGGAAGCCUCGCAGUACCGCGGUGCGGGAUUUUUUCCGCUAUCGCUGUACCGGAGGACGGUUUGCAGUGUCCCGGUGCGGACAACCUUAUCCCGCCCACCUCCCGUGCUCCUAUGAGCCUGGCCCGGAAGAAACGAGCAAUUCUCCGUAUCUUUGGAGCUUGGCUGACGAGGGAAUCUCGCGUCGUGCGGGACAGGCUUGAACACUGCUGUACCCAUCCAAUCACAUGUUGCCUGCAUGCCGAGAGCCUGGCUCAGCUGAAACCAGCCAACCAAUCAGGCCCCAGGCGGUCUGACCAGUCCGGACCUGACAACCUGCAAUCGGUCUGACGGGGUACGGACGGUCUGAUCGGUCCAACCUACUUUUGAGUAGAUUUGAGAAAGAUUUGAGAAACCUACGCCAUGUUUAGUUACUCCCAACUCCCAACUUUGACACUAUGCAAAAAGAAGAUUCCCCAUCACAUCAAACUUGCGGUACAUGCAUGGAGUACUAAAUGUAGAUGAAAUUAAAAACUAAUUGCACAGUUUUGUUGUACUUUGCGAGACGAAUCUUUUGAGCCUAAUUAGUCAAUAUUUGGACAAUAAUUCACAAAUACAAACGAAACGCUACAGUGUGCUACAGUGCUGUAACAGUAAUUUGGCACCUCCCAAAUUCCCUAACUAAACAAGGCCCUACUUUGAGUAGAUUUGAGAAAGAUUUGAGAAAUCUUUUGAUGUAUGUAGAUUAAUAUUUGUAAAACGAUUUCCUUGUGAGGUAAGAUCUUCCCACCCUAGAAAUAUAAAGGGUCGCGGCUGAUUGAGCCUAACACCCAAUCGAACAAAAUAUUUAAUUUACUUUUAUCUCCAAACCCUAAUUUUUUCUAACUUCUUGCUUUUCUCUUUCGUCUUGACAGCGGCUGAGGAAGUUCCGAGUGGCCUACUGAUAUCAGAGCAACCCUAAGCGCAUCAUCCCUGAUGCCUGAUGGGUCCCUCCCGGAAAGCGUCAACAGGGGGCAUUGUGGAUGUUACAGUGAUUAUUUUCCCUAUUGAUCUACAUUUUGGCUUCUUAUUGUUAGAAAUAUGUCUGUACAAAAUCAUUUCUACGUGCAGCCAUUGUUUUUUCAGUAUAGUCCAUAGCAGCCAUUUCUACUUUCUGUAGUGCAAGUUUUGAACGAAACGAAGGUGAAUUUUGGCAUCGCAAGACUAUGGGAAUGAACUGGCUCCAGUUUCAUUCAAACAUAUAACUGCCUCGCAUAAAAAAACAAACAGCCUUUGCUUUAAAGAUAUCCGUCAUCCAUAUUAUCAUUCCUUUCAAGUCAGAGACGAUAUAUUUAUGCCGACAAACUGACAGCAGCAUAACACGCAUAUGCUGCUAAUUCGCUACAAAGUUGGAGCAUUAUAGAAAACUUCUAUCAAGUUACCAGCAGAUCAGAACCGUAGUUUUCAUCUGAAGAAAUUAGAUCCACUCAUGAAAUCAUGAGCCAUAACUCAUGAGAUCUGAUCAUACCAUACCCAAAAGACGGGGAAGUUCAAGAAAGUACUCUAGCAGUGCAGCUAAACCAAUCCGUAAACUGAGGGUCCACCAAACAUUUCCCAGUUUGUUUAGCUGUCGCAGCUUGGUGAAACGUAAGAGCUGAUGCUCUAGAUGAGAUCAGCAUUCUUUACAGCUGAUAACUACUUAACCAGAGUGCCUAGCCGAUACUAUUUCCUAGCUACAUAUAUAUGUUGUAACAUCACUGCUAAGGGAUCAAAACUUUGCUUGAUUGCGUGGUUACAUUGAGCAUUCGUCGAUCUUGCUUUUGGUCAGCUGAAAUGCUGGAAUCACCCAGGCUCCGCAGCAGCACUGCAUACCGGCCCAGUUGAAUUGUCCAAGACGAGCUUUGCAUCCCAUGCAAAAGAGCUUAUUCGCAACAUAUCCUUCUUCCACUGCAAAUAGUAUAUACAGAAAUAUCAGAGGUUUAUGACUAAUGCUCUAAAAAGAAAGAGGUAAAACCAUCAUGUAAAAGAAACUGACCAGUUUGCAUCCACUUCAUCGGCUCCACAUAGAUGCAGGGACAUUCAGGUUUUUUGUCAUCAUCAUCCACAGACCGUUUGCCUCGGUUGAAGCACUUUCCACCCGCACCUACUUCAUGGGUAACAACAAAUUCUUGAGUUGCAAGCAUUCUCCGACAUUUUUUGCAGCGGUAGAUAACACCUGGAUCAGAAGUUCGUUUUUCUGGGUUGACAUCAGAUUCUGCAGAUGUCUCCUGACAUGUUUCUGUAGGCUUUUGAUUAACCUCCAAUCCUGCUUCCCGAUCAGCUUUCUUGUCUGGGAUGAUAUCAGUUUCCACCACUGUGUCCAGACAUGUUUCCAUUGGCUCUUCAUUGACCUUGGAUCCUGAAAGCUCAUCAGUUUCCUUUUCUGGGUUAAUAUCGGUUUCCACAGGAUUUUGAUCCACCUUUGGUCCUGGCUUCUGUUGAAUUACCGGUUCUGGUGCCUGACUGGUUUCCACCUCCUUCAAACCACAUAAUAUCAGUUGUACGAAAUUUACAUGCUGACAUGAUACAACCAUACGGUACAUUAUAUAAAUUAACUUACCAUUUUGUUUAAACUUGAAAUUAAAGCCUCCAUAACCGUACUGAAAAUCGAUUGGAUGUUGCUCACACCUGCAGUGUUCACAGACAGAAAUAAGAGACCAUGAAUAGCACAGGUAACAUUUAAAGCAAAAAAAGUUCCUUGCAUACUGCAAUUAGACAAAAAAUUUAAGAUGUAAGUAUGUAACUGCUCACAUAUAAUUCAUGUAUCCUCAUAUAGUUAUGGAACCCUAAUAUUCAGCUACCCUUAGCACCAUUUAUUUGUUAAGGACAUGACCUGUAGAAAAUACAUUCCAUAACUUGCAGAAGCACAGUCCCUCUGUGACGUAUGUGCACCAUUGUUUUGUGAUUGGACUGAAACUCGUCAUGACAUUGUGUGCUGCGACAACCCCAUGAAUGUUAUAUAUCCUCUGAAUAGUUUCUCUGAAGCAGUAUUAAACACAAUCCUAAGUUCCUAACAAUUGAAGUCAUGCAGCAAUGCCAAGUACAGUACGUAUUUUGACUAAAACCAUGUACAAGAAACUUAGCAGUACCAAGGAUUUUAUCAGACUUUACGCCUCCGAGUAGACUGUAAAUUAUCUAGCAAUAAUGUCCAUUUGGUUCAAAAGGUGUUUUUUUAAAAAAAAAUGAACACACUGUAUAAUUCACAGCUACAGUCAUCAGGCCUAUGCAGCACAGAUCAUCUAAGACCAAAAUGUCCAGUUGAAUCAUAGCGCAAAUUAUAUCCUACAUUUCCUUUGUACCACUAAUUUCUGAUAAACCAAAGAGCUUGUAUACAAACCAACAAGCCAUACCAACGAUUCCUUCCAGUGGAUUCAGAAUGUCCCAAUCAAGCAAUCAUGGAGCCUCCAACAGACUGAAGCACUGCAAGGUUCUAGGUCGGUUGUUCAGGAUCUCCAAAGCUAUCGAACCCCAAAACCUCACCUAAACCCAACCACAAGACGCAGGGCUGGGCAUAGCGCGCGUCAUGCCGGUAUAAAUUGAGCCCCAGAAAAUAUUCCACGAAAUAAUUUAGACCCGCACCCUGGAUCCCAGUCCUUAGGGCAUCAGCUGAGACCCACCGAUUUCGCGCGCCCUAAAUAAGAUGAUGAAGAAGCCUAAUCGAACAGCCAUGGAUGGACGGAAACAAAUUACGCUGCUAAAUGAUGCGCGCGCGGAAACCGGGUUGGACCGAUUACUCUCACGGCAAUUGAAACACCUCCCAGAAAAAACGCAAUUAGACGGGGGGAAAUCCGUCGAGCGAGUUAGGGUUCCUUACCAACGGUCCAAAUCGAUCGCAGGCGUGGAUGGAUUCGUCCACUCCGCGCCAACCCGAAACCGGUGGGGGCGGAGGAGGAGCACGGCGAGUCGACGACGACGACAGGAGUGCGACGGCUUCCUGGGACUUGGGAGUGGAGUGGAUUGGAGGCUAGUUUAUUAGGCGGCGCGGCGCGGGGAAGAGGACUUGAGGACGGCACGGACAGGAAACGUACGUGUACAUGGCCGUAUCCGACCUUUCUUCCAUUUUGACAGACGCGAAUUAGACGGAGAUUAGAUAUUGUGUUUCCCAAAAUAAAAGUUGUAUCAAUAAUAAUGGCAUUUCACAUAUAUUUUGAUACAAAUGUUAUUUGAUAACAUAUUCUAAGAGCAUUGUCAAAGCUAAUUCAAACACGUCCAUAAUAUGCUACGUAUAAAGAAAAUAAGGUACUACGAAUUCGCAAAAAGAAAAGCAUUCUGGCGUGUAAAAAUAAUUGUAUUACCUCAAAUGCUACUGCAGUUUUGUAAAUUUUUAGGACGUUUGACACUGAUAACAUGAAUCCACAAGCCCAACAAGUGUUCUGGUGUGCACAUUGCCGAUCCAUCAAGCGGGCGCAAAAUACGUAACACUCGUAUCUAGGAAAGUUUCUAGUUCUAGUUGAUAAAAGGAGGUGAUACAGUAAAAUACAAUGCCAAAACAUAAUUCGAACGUUCGGCACGGUAUAUACCAUUUUCAGAAUCUUUUAGACACAUGGAUAUAAAGUCUAAAGAGUGAGGUAACAACUGUCCAGAUACAAAAUCAGCAUCCUGUUCAAAGAGUUCGGAUAUAGCUGCUCAAAAUGGGGGAGAAGAUCAAGCUCCUCGUCUCGUGAUACAGCUCGCUCUUUUCCUUGUCCUAAACACUUCUAGUCAGUACUCAGUAGUCACCAAAAGGGUCUCAAUAACCGUUUUCAGAUUGAAUUCAUUGUCCAAUGACAAAACGAACUCGGGCACAUGGUUCAGCUUAUCGCACGUUACAAUGCCAACACCAAAAGAUGGAGUAGCCUGAGAGAGCAUCAAGAUGAUUUUCGCCACUUGCCAAACCAUAUCCUUCAAAGAUGAGAGAAAAACUUAGCAUGUAUCAAGAUCACUGACAGACUGCUAGCAAAACUGAGGAAAUUAACUAAUGUUUCCAGGAUGAUCACAGUGGAUGUUGUCUACAAUCCAUCAAGCGACGUUGAAUGGUGCUAUUUUCAUGUCACCAAUCAAACUAGUUUUCUAUAUAUUACUGAAUUGUAAACGAAGUUUGACACACCAUGCAUUUCUGAAUGGAGGGAGUCUUUUGCAAAUAUGACUAACUCAACCCUAAGAUAUUGUAUCACUUAAUCAGUCCAUCUAAUUGACAAAGUUGCACAUCAUUAACAGUCCCGUAAUCUUGAAAGACUCAAAAGUGGGAUAAGAAUCAUGCAUAGUAAAAACCAGUAGCAUAUUCUUGAAAGACUCAAGCCUAACAUAUAGCAUAAGUUUUGAUCUAUCUUCUACAAAAGGUGAAAAUGAACACAAAGCCCAACACGUUCAUGCCAAAACAUAACUGGCUUAAUGCAAGACAUGGCAAGGAAUGAUUUCAAGAAUAAAACAUUAAAUUGGAGGGAAAUUGCCCCUUCCAUCAAAUUCAUUUCCUAAACAUUGCUCGAUAAAGCAGUAAAGUGCAUCAGUUAAAAUAUAGAGUAGGUACUCCUUACACGGUUUUAUUGGCAACUGAUAGCUAAAGCAAAAAAAAAAGAAAAAAGAAAACAGAGAGAGGUGCUAUGGAGAUGUGCAGUGAUAAAUAUAUUAUCUAGGGAUAAAGCACACAAAAUGGUUCCAUGGUGUAGUGGUUAUCACUCCAGACUUUGAAUCUGGCAACCUGGGUUCGAAUCCCGGUGGGACCUACCCUCUUUACAUAAAAAGAGAAUUUGUGACAUGCCAUUCAAAAGAUUCAAACUUUUGGAAAAACCAAAUUAGCUUUUCCUGGUUCACUUUAAUACCAUCCAAAAACUUUUCAUCGUUUGCUCCAGAAUUUAGUCCAUUGCAUGCUUAACAUACCAGGGAUAGAAAACGUAGUAGGAAACAGUGAGAUGUAGAUCGGCUAGCAUUUGUGACUUUCCAUCCUACAGGCGGGAUUAAGACGGAGGCAACAGGAGUUCGCAAAAAAUGGAACAUGAGUAGGUUAGCUCGUUUGAAGAGAAACAACAUAAUCUGAGAGUGAGACAGAAGAUAAGCGAGUUGGGUAACUCUGACAACAAUGAAUGGUGCUGUAAUGCAAGUUCGACACACCACACAUUUCUGAAUGAAUUGCAAAUAUGUCUCACUCAAGCCAAGAUAUUGCAUUUCUUAAUCAGUCCAUUGACACAGUAGAACAAAUUAACAAAAUUGUGUCAUUAACAGCCCCAUAAUGUUGACAGACUCAAAAGUAGGAAAGAAUCUAUAAUAAAUCCCAGUAGCAUGACAAAAAAAAGGUGAAAACAGAUGCAAGCACAAGUUCAUGCCAAAACUCAACAGUCUGACUGCAGAUAUGGUAUUGAAUAUAUUAAAAAAUAAAUGUUGAAUUGGAGAGGAAUUAACCCUUCAGUCAAAUUCACUUACUAAAAAGUGCUCAAUAAAGCAGCGAGGUGCAUUAGUUAAAAUACAGAUAUUAGCUUAUUGCUUCCAUUUUAUUGGGAAAGGCUAGCAGAAGAAAACAAAAAUGGUUCUAGGGGGAUGUCUUAUGAUAAAUAUAUUACCUAGGGAGAAAACACACAAAAUGGUUCCAUGGUGUAGUGGUUAUCACUCCAGACUUUGAAUCUGGCAACCUGGGUUCGAAUCCCGGUGGGACCUGCCCUUUUUAACAUAAAGAGAAUUUGUGAGGUGCCAUUCAAAAGAUCCAAACUUUUGAAAAAACUCAAUUAGCUUUUCCAGGUUCAUUUUAAAACCAUUAUCAUACUUUUCAUCAUUUGCUCCAGUAUUUAGUCCAUUGCAUGCUUAAUGUACUUGGGAUAGAGAAUGUAGUAGGAAACAGCGAGAUGUAGAUUGGGCAAGGAUUCAUGGCCUUCCAUCCUACAGGUGGGAUUAAGAUGAAGGUGACAGGAACUGCGCACAAAAUAGAACAUGAGUAGGACAGCUUGGCUGGAGACAAACAACAUACUUGAGAGUGAAACACGAGAUAAGCAAGUUGGGUACUCAUGACAAUGAAUGGUGCUAUUUUCAUGUGACAAAAAAGAUAAUUUUCUACUCCCUCCGUUUCAAAAUGUAGGUCGUUUUGGCUUUUCUAGAUACAUAGAUUUUGCUAUGUAUCUAGACAUAACCCUAUAUUUAGAUGCAUAGCAAAACCUAUGUAUCUAGAAAACCCAAAACGACCUAGAUUUUGGAACAGAGGUAGUAUAUAUUACUGAUCUGUAAUAGAAAUUUGACACACCAUGCCUUUCUGAAUGAAUUGCAAAUAUGUCUCCCUCAAGCCAAGAUAUUGCAUUUCUUAAUCAGUCCACUGACACAGUACAACUAAUUAACAACAUCAUGUGUCAUUAACAGCCCCCUAAUCUUUAUAGACUCAAAUGUAGGAAAGGAUCUAUAAUAAAACCCAGUAGCUGGCAUAACCAAAAUAAAGGUGAAAAAACAUUCGGAAUGCAGAUAUGGCAUUGGAUAUUUUAAAAAAAAUAAAAUGUUGAAUUGGAGAGUUAUCCCUUCAGUCAAAUUCACUUCCUAAAAAGUGCUCAAAAAACAGCAAGGUGCAUUACUUAAAAUACAGAUAUUAGCUUAUUACUUUUUUUUGUGAAAGGCUAGCAGAAGAAAACAAAAAUGGUUCUAGGAGGAUGUGCUAUGAUAAAUAUAUUACCUAGGGAAACAAAAAAACAUAAAAUGGUUCCAUGGUGUAGUGGUUAUCACUCCAGACUUUGAAUCUGGCAACCUGGGUUCGAAUCCCGGUGGGACCUGCCCUUUUUACAUAAAAAGAGAAUUUGUGACAUGCCAUUCAAAAGAUCCAAACUUUUGGGAAAACUCAAUUAGCUUUACCAGGAUACUUUUCAUCAUUUGCUCCAGUAUUUAGUCCAUUGCAUGCUUAACAUACAUGGGAUACAUAAUGUAGUAGGAAACAGCAAGAUGUAGAUUGGCAAGGAUUCAUGGCCUUCCAUCCUACAGGAGGGAUUAAGAUGGAGGUGACAAGAGUUGCACACAAAAUGGAACACGAGCAGGACAGCUUGGCUGGAGACAAACAACAUACUUGUGACUUGAGAGUGAAACACGGGAUAAGCAAGUUGGGUAACUCUUAUGACAAUGAAUGGUGCUAUUUCCAUAUGACCAAAAAAAUAUAUAUAUUACUGAUCUGUAAUGAAAAUUUGACACACCAUGCCUUUCUGAAUGAAUUGCAAAUAUGUCUCCCUCAAGCCAAGAUAUUGCAAUUCUUAAUCAGUUCAUUGUCAUGGUACAACCAAAUGACAACGGCAUGUGUCAUUAACAGCCCCAUAGUCUUGAUAGACUCAAAAACAGGAAAGAAUUAUGGUAAAACCCAGUAGCUGGCAUAGCACGAAAAAGGUGAAAAUGGAUGCAAGCAAAAGUUCAUGCCAAAACUCAAGAGUCUGACUGCAGAUCUGGCAAUGAAUGUUUUUUAAAGAAAAACAUGUUGAAUUGGAGAGGAAGUAUCCAUUCAGUCAAAUUCACUUCCUAAACAGUGCUCAAUAAAGCAGCAAGGUGCAUCACUUAAAAUACAGAUAUUAGCCUAUUCCUUGCAAUCUAUUGGGAAAGGCUAGCAGAAGAAAACAAAAACGGUUCUAAGGGGUGUGCUAUGAUAAAUAUAUUACUUAGGGAGAAAGAAAUAAAAUGGUUCCAUGGUGUAGUGGUUAUCACUCCAGACUUUGAAUCUGGCAACCUGGGUUCGAAUCCCGGUGGGACCUUCCCCUUUUUUACAUAAAAAGAGAAUUUGUGGUAUGUCAUUCAAAAGAUCCAAACGUUUUGAAAACCCCAAUUAGCUUUUCCAGGUUCACUUUAAAACCAUUCAGAAACUUUUUAUCAUCUGCUCCAGUAAUUAGUCCAUUGCAUGCUUAAUGUAUUUGGGAUAGAGAACGUCAUAGGAAACAGCUGAGACAUAGAUCAGCAAGGACUUGUGGCCUUCCAUCCUACAGGCGGGAUUAAGAUGGGAGGUGACAGGAGUUGCGCACAAAAUGGAACAUGAGUAGGAUAGCUUGGCAGGAGACAAACAACAUACUUGAGAGUGAGACAGUAGAUAAGCAGGUUGGAUAACUCUCAUGACAAUGAAUGGUGCUAUUUCCAUGUGACCGGGAAAGAAUAAUUUUCCAUAUAUUACUGAUCUGUAAUGGAAGUUUGACACACCAUGCCUUUCUGAAUGAAUUGCAAAUAUUUCUCACUAAAGCCAAGAUAUUGCAUUUCUUAAUCAGUUCGUUGGCAUGGGACAGCUAGUUGAUAAAUUUGUGCAUCAUUAACAGCCCAUAAUCUUGAUAGACUCAAAAGCAGGAAAGAAUCAGGUAUAGCAAACACAGUAGCCGGCAUAACACGAAAAAGGUGAAAAUGAAUGCAAGCGGAAGUUCGAGCCAAAACCCAACAGUCUGACUGCAGAUAUGGCAAUGAAUGAUUUUAAGAAACAUGUUGAAUUGGAGAGGAAGUAUCCAUUCAGUCAAAUUUACUUCCUAAAUAGUGCGCAAUAAAGUAGUAAGGUGCAUCAGUUAACAUACAGAUAUUAGACUAUUCCUUGCAAUUUAUUAGGAAAGGCUAGCAGAAGAAAACAAAAAUGGUUCAAGUGGGACGUGCUAUGAUAAAUAUAUUACCUAAGGAGAAAACGCAUCAAAUGGUUCCAUGGUGUAGUGGUUAUCACUCCAGACUUUGAAUCUGGCAACCUGGGUUCGAAUCCCGGUGGGACCUACCCUUUUUUUAACAUAAAAAGAGAAUUUGUGAUAUGCCAUUCCAAAGAUCCAAACUUUUGGAAAAAUUAAAUUAGCUUUUCCUGGUUCACUUUAAUACCAUUCAGAAACUUUCCAUCGUUUGCUCCACUAUUUCGUCCAUUGCAUGCUUAAUGCGCUUGGGAUAGAUGACAUAGUAGGAAACAGCAAGAUCUAGAUUGGCAAGGAUUAGUGGCCUUCCAUCCUACAGGCAGGAUUAAGAUGGAGGCGACAGGAGUUGCACACAAAAUGAAACAUGAGUAGGACAGCUUGGCUGGAGACAAACAACAUACUUGAGAGUGAGGAAGGAGAUAAGCAAGUUGGAUAAUUCUCACGACAAUGAAUGGUGCUAUUUCCAUGUGACCAAUAAAAGUAGUUUACUAUAUAUGACUGAUAUGUAAUAGAAGUUUGCACCACCAUGCAUUUCUGAAUGAAUUGCAAUUAUGUCUCACCCAUGCAAAGAUAUUGCAUUUCUUAAUCAGUUCAUUGACAUGGUACAAGUAAUUGACAAAGUCGUGCGUCAUUAACAACCCCAUAAUAUUGAUAAACUCAAAGCAGGAAAGAAUCAGGUGUAGUAAAGCACAGUAGAUGGCACGCAUAAUAAAAUAAUGGUGAAAAUGGAUGCAAGCACAAGUUCAUGCCAAAACUCAACACUCUAACUGCAGAUAUGGCAAUGAAUGAUUUAAAAAGGACAAAAUGAUGAAUGGGAGAGAACCCUUCAGUAAAAUUCACUUCCUAAAUGGUACUCAACAAAGCAGCAAGGUGUUUCAGUUAAAAUACAGAAAUUAGCCUAUUCUGUGAGAUUUAUUGGAAAUGGCUAGCAGAAUAAAUAAAAUGGCGCAAGAGAUUUGUUAUGAUAAAUAUAUUAUCUUGGGAGAAAACACAUAAAAUGGUUCCAUGGUGUAGUGGUUAUCACUCCAGACUUUGAAUCUGGUAACCUGGGUUCAAAUCCCGGUGGGACCUACUUUCUUUUGACAAAAAGGGAAUAGAGAUAUUUACUCAAAAAGUCCAACCUUUUGAAAAAUACAAUUAUAUUUAUCUGGUUUGCUCCAUUCCUUUAAUCUAUUGCAUGUUUUAUGAGCCCGGGGUAGGGAACGCACUAGGAAGGUGAGAUGUAGAUAAGCAUGGUUUAAUAGCCAUGCCCCUUUCACCCUGCAACUGGGUUGGCAUGGAGGGGAUAGGAUUGCGCACAAUAAGGAACUGUAAUAGGACAGCUUAGAUGCAGAGAAAUGGCAUACAUGUGACACACAGAGGGAGAUAAAAAAGUUGGUUGAUUCCUUUUGUUUUCUUCCUCUGCGAAAAUCUCAUCCCACUAAUUACAUAUGGAUCUAGCAAACUUAGCCAGGGAAAAUACAAAGUAACAAUAUGAUUGGUUCAAACUAAGCUGAAUGAAAAUAUAUAAAAUGUCAAUCCUACGCACCUAGAUGUUGCUUCACACCCUGAUAGAAAAAAUCAAUGCAGCAAUGGGUACAUCCAAAAGAGACAAGGUGCAGGACAGUGUCAAGGAACGCUGUUGUACAACACAUCGUCACCAGCCUAAAGCCAUAGGCUAGUCAUUUGUGUUAGUGAUUGUGGCCUCUGUUUUACAGAUCAUGUUGCAUAGAACAAUUAUAAUAUUGUUACCAAGUUAGGCAGUUUUGAAUAAAUUGUUUUGAAUAAAUUCCUGGGAAUUUACAAAGACAAAAUUCCAAAUUUUCAAGACUCUUAAUCUGGUACCAUGGCAAAGAUUAGUUACUGGCAGUCAAUUGAAAGAGAAAAGUUAGUUCCCUACAGAUAUGUUGAAGCAUCUGCAAAAGAUUGUCCCGGUAGAUAUUAUACAGAGGUUUGUUUCAUAUAUUCUGUUUUAGUAUAUGAGCAAGGUUUAAACAAAAUAAAGGUCCCUACUGAGAGAUCUAGGAGUCAAUGAAGCAAACAGAGCAUCUACACGAAAUAUAUUGGCAUGUGACACAAAAAAGAAGCUGCUGUAACAGGCAUACAGGACAUGCUAGAGCACAACAGCUAUACUAUCCAACAAGGCAACAAGCAUCAGAAAUUACCUAGCACAUUGAAUUUUGAGCAGGGCCCGAAGAACUAAUAAGCUUGGCAGGCACACAGCAGAAAGCUAGAAACAGAGCAUGGCACCGUCCAUAAUCCCGCAACCUGUGAACACGACAAAUCCUAUCAAUGAGCCAACCCAGGUAGCACAACUUUAUCGAUCCUGAACGCUCAACUGCAUAUAUCGUUAAUAAAGCGAAACCCUCACAGGCAAUCGGUUGGCAGAUCAAACUGGACGCGGCAAGGGCCAACGGCCACCGGCUUGAGAUGCGGCCGUAAUGGGCGCCCGACCGGAGAGGUCAUGGAUGACCGCGUCGGCGGGGAGAUCCACGCCGCAGGCUAGACGUCGUGGACGGCGGACAGCGGCCUCGGCGCAGAGGAGGACGCCGUGGGCAGGCACCGAUCGGUUGUCCCCCUAAAGCGGCGGCGCCAUUGGAAGCCGCAGACAGCGAGGCCGUGGAAGCCACGGCGCGCCUUCGUAAGAGAGGAGGCGGAGGCGGAGGCGGAGGCGGCAUGGGGGGUGGUGAAGGGUGAGGGGAGGAGGACGCCGUCGCCCGGCGUAGGGUUUGGACUUUGAAGGAAGCGGCGACGAUAGAUACGGAGGAGGAGAACGAAUGGCGGAGAAGAGCGGCCGCCGCCGGCGACGAGAGAGCUUCGUGGCCGUUUCGAUCCGUCUUCCUGUCGGCCCAACAGGCCAACAGGCUCAACUACUGGGCCGGCCUCGGUUUGAGCCCACGGCAUCUCCGCGCGGGCGAAUCUGGAAGAGAGUCCACGCGUGCGAUGGGAUGGGGCUCGCACGGACUCUCAUGUGUCGCGUCGUGUUCGUGUCCCGUCGCCGCCGCAAACGCUGCGUCGGCCGUGGUGAGCCGAUGACGCAGCACGAGCUUCCUCGAUCCCAUCCACUCCGGUCGCACGUGUCAGCUCCUCCCGACACGCGUCCCGCUCCGGCGCCGCCACGGCAACGUCAACGUCAAACCCCGGCCGCCCACCGCCAAUUUAUAAGCCUCCCGCCGAUCACGCUACAGCCCAUCACCAAGCCAAAACCGCAAGCCACUACCAGCGAUCAGGUCACACUACUACUAUUACGCCCAAUCCAACACAGCAACCACGCUCUGCUCUUAGCUCUCGCCGGCAAGCUCGCUCGCCGCAAUGGCGUCGCAGCAACAGCCCAGGAAGCAGGCCACCAACCGGGCCCAGGAGGAGGUAGGAGGAGGCCAACAAGGCCAGGCGAUGAACCUGGAGGAGAUCGGCAAGUACCGCUCCGAGGCGCAGCAGCGGUCGGCCGACGCCAUCCGCGCCGCCGAGGAGCGCUUCAACAAGGCCAACAACAAUCAGGCGCCCAGCGCCGCCACCGUGGUCUCGUAUCAGGAGACCACGAGGCAGCCCGCGGCGAAGCAGCAGGGUGAGAGCCACGGCCACGGCGUGGGACACGGCUCCGAGCCGCAGCAGUGGCUGGCGGAAACCGCCGCCGAUGCCAGGGAGAGGUGCAACAAGGCAAUGGGGACGAGCCCCGCCGCCGCGCACGGCGGCAAGGCGUCGCCGGCCGGCCACGCGCCGGCGGGCGCGGCGCCUCCGCACCAACAGGGAAGGAGGGAGCAGGAGGGCGGCGGUCAAGCCCGCGCCCACCUGACGCGGCAGGAGGAGAUGCCUGACAGGAGGUCGGCCGCGGAAGCCGCGAGCGCCGCGGUGGAGAGGCACGACAGGGGCGGCGGGGAGGCCUCCGCGGGGCAGGGCGUUAAGGAGAAGGCCGCGCGCGCGGCCGGCGCCAAGGCGAAGGGCGCCGAGGCCAAGGACGCCGGCGCCCGGGGCGCGCAGGCCGCGGCGGGGAAGGCCCAGGAGGCCUCGGGGGCGGCGGCCGACCGCACCAAGCAGGCGGCCGCGACGGCGAAGGACGCCACGGCCGGCGCGGCCGGGACGACCGCCGAGUACGCGAGGCAGGCGGCGGCGAAGGCCAAGGACGUGACGCUGGGCACCAGGGAGACGGCGGCCGAGUACGCGAAGCAGGCCGCGGCAAAGGGCAAGGACGUGUCGGUGACCGCCGCCGGGACGGCGGCGGAGUACGCGAAGCAGGCGGCGGUGAAGGGCAAGGACGUGACGGUGAGCGCCGGCGGGACGGCGGCGGAGUACGCCAGGGCCGCGGCGGAGAAGGCGAAGGAGGCGGCGGUGGCUACCGCGAGGACGACGGCCGGGUACACGCAGCAGGCGGCGGCCAAGGCGACGGAGAUGACGGCGGACACCGCGCGCAAGGUGGCGGAGUACGCCAGGGAGAAGGCGGAGCAGGGCAAGGAGCGCCAGGCGGAGGAGCCCCGCGAGGACGUGGCGUGGGAGGCGGCGGGCAAGGCCCGCCACAUGACCGGGCAGCACGAGGACACGACCGGCGCCAUGGCGCGCAGGGUGGGGGACACCGCUGGGCAAGCCAAGGACAUGGUGAAGGACGUGACGGGAUCCAUGGCGCAGAAGGCGAGCGACACGGCGGGGCGCGCCAAGGACACGGCGAUGGACGCGGCCGGCAGCGUGGCGCAGAGGUCGAGGGACACCGCUGCCGAGGCCGGGGACAAGACGAAGGACGCCACCUCACACGCGGAGCACAAGGCAGGGGAGGUUAAGGACAAAGCAUCGGGGACCGGCAAGGCCGACGGCUGUGGCGGCGGUGUCACGACGAAGGCGAAGGUAUGUGCGCGCCUGGCGUCCGGUCAUGUGUGUUGGGGUGCCGUGUCUUUUGAAGUGUGUGCGUAGCUGACGGCUCAGUUGUGAUGCAGGGCGGCGGCGGCGAGGACACGACGGUAGUGGGCGACGUCCUGGAAACGGUGGGCGCGAUGGUGGUCGGGCUGGCGCAGCACACCAAGGGGCUCAUCGCCGGCGAGGAGGAGCUCGUCCCCGUCGAAGGUGGCGAGGAGGGAAAGGUCACCGAGGCAAGGAAGGAGGAGAAGCGCAAGACCGCUUGAUGAUGCGAUCGUUGCUCUGCUUCUAGGCUUUGCCGGCAAAGUUUGGGUUCGCCGUGUACUGGUUCCGCCUUCCGCGACACGUCCAGCUGCGUAUAGUAGAAUAACGUUGCCGGUGUACGUGCGUCGCCAUCUCCUUUUAAACAAGGAGAGCUGCCAGAGAGCGGCCAAUUAUAUUUGAAAAAGAAUAAGGCAAACUCCGGUCGGUUGCCAUGUCACAGUGUGAUCCUGUGCAUGCACGACGCUGUGAUCGUGUCAACCUGCUAUGUGCUCUUAUGUACUCGUAUAGUCCUAUGUAUUUGUACAUGUUUGGAUGCCGUCUCCGUUUUCUGCCUAUGUGCUUUGGAGCCAGGUAGGAAAGCAUAAUAAGUUUUAUUUCUUUCUUUUAAAAUAAAAGUAUAGAUGCGUACACAGUUUCCUGCACAUGCGUUUUAGGAUAAGGCAGGAAGCCAGUAUAAAUUUUAUUUUAUUCUCAAAAAACAUGGAAUGUCUAUUUAUGUACAGUUUCCUGAACGUACGCUUUAGGAUAAGGCAGGAAACCAGUAUAAUUUUUAUUUUAUUCUCAAUGUCCAACUGUCGACAGAGAGGUAAAAUUAGACUUUUAGAGGUAAAAUUAGAAAAUUUUUGUAGUAUUAUGAGGUUGUUCUGCAAUGUUGUAGGUACUACCUUUGAAAUAUCGUAAAAUAGCCUAUACAACGGCAGAAUUUUUUAUUAUUCCUUUCCUAAAAAUCAUGAAAUAUUUUGGAACACAUAAUAAUGUUUGUAACGUCAGAUGAUAUCAUUUGGAAUAUAGAAAAAUUUUGAUUGAUUUUUCUAAAAAUAUGUUCCUUUCCUAAAAAUCAUGAAAUAUUUUAAAACAUCACAUAAUAACAUCAGAGGACAUCAUUUGGAACAUAGAAAAAAUUUGAUUGAUUUUUUCUAAAAAUAUGUUAACAGAUAGAUGGUAUUUCUCAACAAACAUAUAUAGUUUUCUGGGUAGGAAACUAUAACAACCUUUGCAAAACAGAAUGGUAUAUGGAUGCAUAUGUACAGUUUUCUACCUAUGCGUUUUGGAACUAAGCUGGAGUUCAAUGAGCAGGUCAGCUCAUAAUGGGCUAAUGGGUUUUGGUUCCGGCUAAUGGGCUUCAACGUGUUGAGUCAUAAUUGUAAGCAGGCUUUGUACAGUUGGUGAGCCCGCUACUCUUUCCAGCCAAGCUGGUCCAACAUGCGAAGAUAAGAUCGUCUUCUACCUUGAGAUCCAUUCUUCAUUUAUACUGUCCAAAACUAGUGGGGCGAGGGGAGAGGUGGUUCGCAGGCAAGCCCCCUAAUCCAACAUUGCCCGCGUGGCUUGGUGACUACAGUUAGCGCGUCCGUUUGUGAACCGUAAGUGUACGGAUCAUCGUACCUUUUCUAUUAGCAUGUUCCAUCUAAGAUUUAUCAAUUCAUGGAUCGGCAACAAACUAGCUAAGGUUUCUAUCUAGUCUAACGGAUCAAUCCUUACAUGAAACGUUGAUUGCAUAUGAGGGAUAAACCUGAUGUAAAGAUGAAUGAUAAGAACACAGGUUGAUCAUAUCCACAAAUACAUAUAAGAUAACACCACCAAGGGUAACAAGAGCCUAUCGCCUUCUAGUUACAAAUCUAGCCAAUAAGCAAGCAUAUCAUGCAUCUUAUCCAAAAUAAUCUCUAAACUACUACCUCCGGUUAACCUCUCGAAAACUCCCAUCUUACACGAAAGCAGACACUGUCACGAUCCCUCUAUCAGCACAUGCAGUUUAAGGGCACAACCACAAGUGAACGUGUCUAAGCAUCAUGAAAAUGUCAACAUAUCAGAUCUAAUCUCCAUGAUUACAUAAGGCAUGCUAUGUAGUUUAAUUUAGAAUUAGACUAAGGAACAAGCAUAUUCACGAUAGAUGAAAAGUAUAAAAGGAGGCAUUGAGUCGCUAACAGAUCAGAUGACAUAAAUAGCAUUGCUCACAUAAUAGAUGUAUUAGAUCAUAACCUCCGAGUACAUACCAGCUCCUGAACUCCACCAUAGUACAACUGCCUGCGUAGGGAGGUCAUGGCGGCUAGGGUUUGGCCUAAGUCAUUUCCUAGAUAACUUUGAAGACUUGCAGCGGCCAUAAGCUCCCUUUGGUGAAUGCCCUAGGUUUCACCAACUUCUGGUGGAUGGAUGCGCAUGUCGAUGGAGAAUGGGCAUAUUUGGGGGCGAAGGGCACGUCGAUCGGAGUCAAAAAUGGGCCAGGCUCAUCGGCCCAGGACCUAGGAGAUUUCACCACCUUGCUGACCUCAAAUGCCAAAACUUUAUAUGCGAAAGUUGUAGAUCAUUUUGAGCUAUGCAGUUUAGAUACCAAAUUUGCUCCAAUCGGAGUUCGGAUGAGGGAGAUAUGCCUUGUGUAAGAUCUGCUGCUUCCGCGACCCUUCUGACUUUCCAAUCUUGAGGAUCUUUCAGCUUGACCACGAGAUUGACAUGUCAAAUCACCACAUACUUCACCUCUAAGUCAUCCGGAAUGAUGGUUCGUCGAAUGUGGAUGCAUUAGGAGGAUGAAUUGGGCCAGCCCGAUAGGCCUAUGGGUCCUAGACCGAUUGGCCUACCCUCUUUUAGGCUCCUCCGGUCCUCAUCUUUCUCGUGUAGACUCCUUGUGUUGUCCAAAGUCCAGGUCCAAAUCAAACCCGUACAAAAGCGCCACUUUAUGUCGUAUUUCUUGCCAUUUUGCAAUGUAGUGCAAAAUAUAACAUAUAUACGAAUAUGGAGUUAUUUCAGGUGCCAAGUGGCGGGUUAGUAUAAGAUUUAGUCCAAAAACACUAGUUAAAUAGCACUAAAAACGUGGCAAUAAUGAGCGCCAACGGACCCUAUUAUUGUUAAUUAAAGAGCAUGAACCAUGAGGAAACUUGUGUCUCUCCAUUAAAUAGUGGAUGAACAAAUUUAUACAGCAGCCAAGUAGGUGAUCAUGGGAAAAAACAUUAGUCCCUACAAGUUUUGGAAAAACAAAUGAGAAUCUCUUUUAUCAUAACUUGUGUACGUAGCAAGCCUAUUUAGCAUGAAUUAGCCGUUGUCAUGAGUUCAAUGAACCAGUUUACUGAUAUUAAUGCCAUGAAAAGUAUAUAUAUUUGAUAACAAAAGGGCCUCAAGUUCUUCAUUAAUCUCUAUCUCUACCUAAUAUUAAAGUUUGGAACAAAUCCUUCAUGAGUUCUGCCACCUUAGUUUUGAAACCGUACAGAACCAGCACUUGCCGUGCAAAACCGAAACCAACCUGAACACUUCUGCCUCCGAGGAACUCUUGACGCGCAAAAAGACCAGCUGCGGCGGCUUCCUGUGCGCGAGGCAAGCGCUCCCAGCUCGUGGGCCUGCUGGGCCGCCUGGCUGCUGCUCGAGGCUUGUGCCGCGAGCUGAUUUUCUCAUCUAGUCUCCAAAAAUAUACGACAUAUCGAAAAAAUAAUCUCCAAUAUUAUCUACUUGGGUCCUACUUUAUAUAAUUUCAACAUAAUCACAUAUGCACCAUUUAUAUGAUUUCCCCUAUAUUUAUUUUCAGCAUACUUCAAAACAAACAAGCUCCUUUAGGGAUCGAGGAAGAAGAACGAGAAGAAAAUCAACAAGUUCUGCAGGAUCAAAGAAAUAUAAAAAAAAUCCAAUGCAUGAUGCACAUAAAGAGCUCGAUGAAAGUCCAGCCUUUAGCACGAAGAAGACGACAUCUCCGCCUAUACACUGUCUCACCUCAAGGCCACCACGACGCUUGCUGUUUCCCACUCAUAUCCAUUGCCAUUUAAGGACAUGCAUGGGCUCGUCCACGUUGGAGGCCCCAAACAACCGAACACAACCCAUGCGUAGUUCAGAGGACAUGCACGAGGCUUGUGCCGCGAGCUGCCCUGUGUCCAACACAUGCCACGCUCUAGCCUGCUAGUAACUAUCAUAAGCCAAGUCGAUCCAAAAGGUUAGUACUUCACGUUCUCCUUGAUUUCUUAGUUUUCCACAUAGGAUUUUAUAAUUAUUUAUAUUUCGUACAUAUAUUAGCCAAGGAAGUCACCCGUUAAUAAGUACCAUGUCAAUGUCCAAUAUAUGUUUCAGCCUUGGAGGAAUUUCUGCUCAGUGGUAGCUGCGUGACAUAAUAUUUUGUUUUGUAAUCUAUGACUCAGCAUGUAUAGUUUCAAUUUGCAAGUUUCUAUUGUGCAAUAGCAGAACUUAAUUAGUUGCAUGAGUGCUUAUGAGUUUCACGUAAUUUGUGCUAAUUUGGGCACGUACAUUGCUCCAUGUUGACCACCUCUAUGUCACCUCAUGAUGCAUUGCACGUAGAAUUUUAGAUGAUGUAGCGAGGGAGAAGGAGGUGAGAGCAAUAUAUAGAUCAUCUACAUUAAUUAAAAUUUAGCACUAUUAGAUGGUGGAUGUGCUAUUGUACCUUAUUAAAUUUUUAUGAGGGAUGAUGCAGGAGUAUCUUCUUUCCUUCCAUGGACUCACCAUUUAAGGGAUGUGGAACUAUAAAGAGACAGCUAAAAGAUAAAACAUCGUAGCAUUUGUCUGUUUAAGUCAUCCAUACAUUGUGUGGAGGCUAUAGGACAGCACCGUUAGAAUUGCUCUUAGUCGUCAGAUCCAUUGGUAAUUAUAACAAGGAACGUGUCUGGGGCAAACCAUCUAUCCUAUGCAACUUUGGAAACUAUGAAUUAAGGCAAUAAUCCAAUGGAUAGGGUUAGUGAGGGGAUUUGUGGCCGGCGGGUGGGGGGACUUAAGUGCAAAAUAAUCAUAUCCAUUGGAUUAGCAUCCAAGGUUGCACGGGGUAGAUGGUUUGUACCAGAUACGUUUCCUUAUAACAAAAUAUUAAAGACAGCACAUAUUUAUCAACCUAUAUAUAUAAACAAGCCCAUGUGAAUACACGGGUUGUCGGUUAGUACUAAUAAAUUAAAACUUGAAAACGGGACUAACAGUAAUUUGGAACUUGAAAAUGGGAAUUACCAAUGGAAGAACAAUAUGGCCAGUUUUCAGAACGGUGAAGAUGCUUCCACUUUGCCAAAACCAAAAGAAUCUGGUCCCAGGGCCGUUGUCCACGGCCAGUGGGCAUCGGCCGUGUGCUGCACUGCACUCUCUGGCUCGUCAGGAAGUGAUCUGGCAUUAAGGGAUCAAGCUGCUGGGGCUUUACAGGAUGAUGGCGUUUGUGAAUCGACGAAAUCACUGGGCAGAGCUAGCUGAACUGCUGAAGACUGGGCGAAGGUGGAGACGAAGACAGUGGAGCUUUCAAGCAUCGUUUUACUUGACAAUUCGCCGCUGCUUUACCUGCUGCUCUGCUAUCAUGGGAUGCAUCUUGCAGAAAAAAAAGAUCAAGGAUCAAUGAAUCUAGCAGGAUAGGUUAUCUUCUGGUAUUACUGAUCGUCUUUCCUCAUUUGUAGUUUUCUGCCAAGAGGUAGUAGUGCUAAGUGUUCUGUGACCACAGGACACUCAGUGCAGACCCCUCUUGAUCAUGUACAGGACACUCUGCAUGACGACUUCUCUAUUUGCAGUCAUCUUAUCCUUCUUGUGCAUAGCAGAGUUUCCCCUGUCAUCAUCGUCUCUCAGAUCAACCGGGGAGACGGGAGACUUGGAUCAAAUGGCAUCGUUUUGAGGGGACAGCUAGCUCCUUUGUCUAGAGGAGUUUACACGGUAAAACCAGCCACCUAGAGGAUUUUCAUGGUUGAAAACAACAUGAAAAAUCAGGGAACUUAUCCUUACCUCCUCUCCUCACCAAAACAAAAGUUUUAUACCUCUUACUACAUUAUUAUUUAUCUUGCAGUAACUCUAUCAAAACUGUUAAAAAACUUAUUGUAGAAAUAUCAAACACAAUUACAUAGGCCAUACAACCUUUUCUUUUAAUGUAGACUCUGGAACAUAGAGACAAAACCAGUUACCCUCUUAAAACUAGCACAGCCUUUAGACUCUAGACGUCGGAAAAGUGCAAAGUUAUCCUCGGUGAGUUGAGAAGGUCAGAAGGAAUGCGGGGCCGGAGAAUGGGGCAGGGAAAGUGAGGCUGGCACCAAGAAGUUGAGUAACAAAGGUGAGUUGGCAACGGUUCAUUUCGAUCAAUCCUAGGCUUUUUGAAUUUCUGGCAGUUGAUAUUUAGCAUCCAGCAAGAACAAUAAUGCGAGGGCGAGUAUCCUUAGUUAUUUCGUAGAAAUUUGUUCUUGAUGUAACAUGUAGAUUCUCCUUCGCUUGUCCUUGUCAACUACUUAACUACAGAAAAAAUGCACAGUAAAAUUCUUGACCAAUGACCCGUUUGAAAGGGUUGCCUCAUUUGUCCAGCCGGAGCUAACACGGUAAGACAAGAUAACAGCUACCACCCAGGUCCAUGGUGUACUGCUCGUCACUACAUUCGUCUAUGAGCAUCUAAGUCUUAAGUCCAAAUGAAACACUGCUACAAGCUUCUCCAGUUCACAAUGGCCAAGCUCAACCUUCUGCUUCUCACGCUACUCCUCACUCCCCUCUUCCUCACUUCCAGUUCUGAUUCGGUGCGGCCCACCGACGCCGAGCUCCGACCUCUCUUGAUCAUCAAGAGGGAUUGGGGCAACCCUACUGCACUCAGCUCAUGGAAGAACACCAGUAGCAACACCACUGCCUCUAGUCCUUUCACUCACUGCGAAUGGGCUGGGGUUACUUGCAACGACAACGGCCAAGUGACCGCCCUCUCCUUCCAAAAUUUCAACAUAUCCAAUCCAAUCCCUGCCUCCAUUUGCAGCCUCAAAAAACUAGCGUAUCUAGACCUCUCCUACAACAACCUUGCCGGCGAGUUCCCGGCGGCAGCGCUCUACGGUUGCUCGGCACUUCACUACCUCGACCUGUCCAACAAUCUCUUCUCCGGCGUCCUCCCAACUGACAUCAACGGCAAACUGUCGAUGCAGAUGGAGCACCUCAACCUGUCAACCAAUGGUUUCAGCGGUAGUGUGCCGUCGGCAAUUGCCGGGUUCCCAAAGCUCAAGUCGUUGAUUCUCGACACUAAUAGCUUCAACGGGACCUAUCCGGGCUCGGCCAUCGGCAGCCUCACCGAGCUCGAGACGCUGACGCUAGCAAGCAACCCAUUUUCACCAGGGCGUAUCCCUCAUGAUUUCAGCAAGCUGAAGAAUCUAAAGAUGCUGUGGAUGUCAGGGAUGAACCUGACUGGUGUUAUACCCUACGCUCUCUCAGCGCUCACUGAGCUUACUGUGUUGGCUUUGUAUGAGAAUAAUCUUGAGGGCGCAAUUCCGGCGUUUGUUUGGAAGCUUCAGAAGCUGGAGUUCGUGUACCUUUACGCCAACAGCUUCAUGGGUGCAAUUGGGCCAGAGUUCACUGCUGUCAACAUGCAACAGCUUGACCUAUCGGGGAACAGCCUCUCCGGAGUGAUACCGGAGACCAUCGGUAACAUGAAGAACUUGACACUGCUCUGCUUAUACAACAACUACUUCACCGGGUGGAUUCCGUCGAACAUCGGGCUGCUCCCCAACCUCGUAGACAUCCGGCUAUUCAACAACAUGCUCUUGGGCACCCUCCCGCCAGAGCUCGGAAAGCACUCGCCACUCGGCAACCUUGAAGUGAGCAACAACUACCUCACCGGCGUGCUCGGGGAAACCCUGUGCUUCAACAAGAAGCUCUACAACAUCGUGGCGUUCAACAACAACUUCUCCGGCGUGUUCCCGGCGAUCCUGGGGGCGUGCGACACACUGGACAAUAUCAUGCUGCAGAACAACAACUUCGUCGGUGAGUUCCCGGAGAAGAUAUGGUCGGCGUUGCCCAAGCUGACCAGCGUUAUGAUACAGAACAAUAACUUGACGGGCUUUCUACCUAGUGCCCUGUCCCCUAAAAUCACACGGAUUGAAAUGGGGAACAACAGAUUCUUUGGCAACAUACCAGAAUCUGCAACCGGCCUGCGUUCGUUCGAAGCAGAGAAGAAUUUGUUCUCCGGUGGGCUACCUGCGGACAUGACAAUGCUUGCCAACCUUACUGUUUUGAACCUUGCCGGGAACCAGAUUAGUGGAUCCAUACCAACAUCCAUCGGAGCCCUUGAGAGGCUUAAUUCCCUCAACCUCAGCAGCAACCAGAUAACUGGAGAGAUCCCGGCAGGAAUCGGAUUGCUCCCGGUGCUCAUCGUCCUCGAUCUCUACAACAACAAACUCAGUGGUAGCAUCCCGGAGGACUUCAACAACAACCAUUUCUCCUUCCUGAAUCUCUCGUCUAAUCAGCUCACCGGAGAGGUGCCAACCGCACUACAGAGCCCAAAGUACAACAACGUCUUCCUGGACAACCCUAGCUUGUGUGCGGAAUCAAACUCUGGCCUACCCCUGCCCCCGUGCUCCCGUAAUUCUUGGAGAAAGAUCAUCUUGUCAGUUGCAGCUCUCUUCAGCUUCAUUGCAGUUUGUGUUGGGUGGAGCAUCUACAGGCGCAAGAAAGACCGUAAGGAUGUUACAUCGUGGAAGAUGACACCAUUUCAUGCUCUGGAUUUCACCGACCACGACAUACUCAGCAACAUCAGGGAAGAGAACUUGAUCGGCAGAGGUGGGUCAGGAAAAGUCUACCGCAUCCAUCUCGGCAGCCAGAAGGCAGCAGGGAAAAGCGCUGAUGCGGCCGGUGGCCACUCAACAGUGGCCGUGAAGAAGAUUGGGAACGCUGGCAAGCCGGACGGUGAUAUCGACAAGGAGUUCGAAGCGGAGGUGGCAUCACUAGGUGGUCUCCGUCAUGGCAACAUCAUCAACCUCCUCUGCUGCAUCUCCGGCGACGACACGAAGCUGCUCAUUUACGAGUACAUGGAGAACGGGAGCCUGGACAGGUGGCUGCACCGGCGCCGCCGCAAGAUUGGGCCGCCGCUGGGCUGGCCCACCAGGCUGAGCAUCGCCAUGGACGUCGCCAGGGGCCUCAGCUACCAUGGCUUCACGAGGCCGGUCAUCCACCGUGACGUCAAGUGCAGCAACAUCUUGCUGGAUCGCGAGUUUAGAGCCAAGAUCGCCGAUUUCGGGCUCGCCAGGAUCCUUGCCAGGGCCGGCGAGUCGGAGCCGACGUCGAGCGUCUGCGGGACAUUCGGUUACAUUGCUCCAGGUCGUAGCAUCUUUAGUUCCACACGACCAGAACGUUGAUGAGAAGUUUUCCAUGUUGUGAACACACAACCAUGAGCUUAUAACACGCCUGGACUUUGUGUUUGGGUGCAGAGUACGUGAGCAGGGCGAAGGUAAGCGAGAAGGUGGACGUGUACAGCUUCGGCGUGGUGCUGCUGGAGCUCGCCACCGGGCGGGGGCCACAGGACGGCGGCACGGAGUCCGGCAGCUGCCUGGCAAAAUGGGCGUCGAAGAGGUGCGGGAACAGCAACCCAUGCGUGGACCUGAUCGACGGCGAGAUCCGGGACCCGGCCUACCUGGACGACAUGGUGGCCGUGUUCGAGCUCGGGGUCGUCUGCACCGGCGAGGACCCGUCGUCGAGGCCGCCGAUGAACGAGGUCCUCAACCGGCUCAUCCAGUGUGGCCGGAGUCAGAUGACCCUUGACGAUGACGACCACUAUGCCAAAGACUUGUGUGGCGACGAUUCUUUUGAGUUUAUGGUAUGACGUGGCCUUGUGAUCUGGUACAGUAGCAAUCAGAGGCACCUCAGGCCUUGCAAAUUGCAAUCGCUAUCCAGCUUAUUCGUUACGUACCAUGAAUUCUCAGGUCAUCAGUCUAAGACGUCAAACCUUUGUUCCGGACCUCUCGGGUCCAGUGAGUGGAAGCACUAGGGGAAAGCUAAGAAUUGCCGAGCGUUUUUUCUUUGCCGAGUAUUUUUUUCGAACACUCGGCAAACAAUCUCUUUGUCAAGUGCCAAGUUAAAAACACUCGACAAAUAGGGGCUUUGCCGAGUGUUCGAAAAAAACACUCGGCAAACCCGGGGCUGCGGAGUGUCUAAGCUUACAUUCGGUGAAGAGGGGGGUUGGCCGAGUGUCAAAAAAAACACUCGGCAAAAAUAUUUUUUUCCUCUUUUCACCUUAAAAUUUUUUCUACUCCCCACAUAUAACAUGUGGUACUCCAUGUUAAAAUUUGGUAUAUUUUUAGAUUUAUUUGCUAUAUUUAUUUAAUUAAUUGCAUUUCAAGAAAAUUUUUGGUAUAAGUCAAAUUUGAACUGCAAGUGAUUCAAAUUAUGGAACAAAAUGAGUAUAAAAAUGAUAUUCAUGUUAUUUGGCCCAAUUUGAGACCUGAUCCAUGAAAUGAAAAGAAAUUUCGAACAUCUUGUUCAGGAAACACGACCAUGAACGUGUGGCAGUAGUAUUUUUAAAUUGUAAAAAAAACAAGCAAAGUCUGAAAAUCAUGAGAUUUGUCAUGAUGUGAUGAUAUAAUACGUGGAGGCUGUGGAAAAAAAUUGAGAAGGUUUUGCACAUUUCAUCAUGUACGAUGAUUACAAACCGAAGCAUCUUAGAAGAAGAAUAGUAACUUUGAGAAAGAUUCGAUAAGAUUUAGAGUUGAAGUGAUGUCGAGUUUGGUUUAACUACAAAACUUUUUGUAUAGUCAAUAGAGAACAUAUAUAUUUCACGUGAAAAUUUGGUAUUUUUUUGAAACUAUUGGAUAUUUUUUAAUUUUUUUAAAAAAAACUUUGCCGAGUGUCCUAGGUAAUCCUUUACCGAGUGUCCACAUAGGACACUCGGCGACUUUUUUUUUCCACGUACCGGGCCCGCCUCCCCUCACGCCGCCCCCCUCAAGGCACCCCCGCCCCCCCUGUGGCGGAACCACCUCGGAUUACCUUGAUUAAAGCACGGUUAAGUCGCCUGACACACGACACUCAUGCCUUAGUCAAGUUAACUCGAAGUGCCGUCGGAUUUCAUCCGAUUUAACCACUUAACAGGACCGAGUUUAGCAAAACUCACACGAAGGUGAGUGGUUCCAGAGAAUACAACAGAUCCACUGAGUUAAACAAGUUUGACAAUUUAGUUCAACAUCAAAACGAAAGUCAGAGUUUUACAGGAUUCAAGAGCAGCGGAAAGGUAAAAUAGCGGAAGCUAGCGCCGGGGUCGGAUGUCCCUGAUGAGGCCGAUCAGGACAUCAGUGAUCCCUUUCCUCGACCGUCCAACCCAGAGGGAGCUAGGGCGGCCAAGUGCCAACAGGAGCAAACUCAGGAGCUGCGACUUCACCUGAAAAGAGAGCCACAAACAAGGCUGAGCUGCUAAGCUCAACAAGACUUAACCAACCGGUGGUAAAACUACUCCACCACGUCUAGACAUGCAAGGCUCUUUGGCUGAGGGGUUUGUUUGCCAAAAGCGACUAUGUUAGGUCCUUGCUUUCAAGUUUUAGCUCAAAUUCUAAGUUCAUUAACCAGUCUAUGUUGGCAUCUUACUCUAAGCAAACAUAGAUCCAACUUUAUGUAUAUAAGCUCAUCAACAAGACCAUGUCAUCAUCAGACUCUUUCAUUACUCAGUGUAGCAUAGCGAUCAAGCAGUCUCAAACUGUGAGAGGCAGACGAAUCGAUUCGAGUUUCUUAACAAUGCAUGGCGAACCUAAUCUCACGACAUCCGCGCACCACAAGGAUCGCUUCCUGUGUCGGCCAUCCCCAUCAAUUCCCAAGCACGUGUCAGGUCCAAACUUCCCUUGGCAUGCAAUGCUCCACAGUCCCAGCCUCUACCGUACUGUGACCGCACUUGCACCCACAUGAUGCACCAUGGGAACCUCGUUCCAGGGACAGCAGGGGUAUAAGCCACGCCCUAGUUCAAUCAGGUACUAGGCUUCCCCAUCCCAUACUAGGUAUGAGAUUAGUACUUUCAAACACUUGAUCACGAACACCACCACUGUCAGGCCUUAACAGAUUCCAUAGACAGACGGGGCGAUCAACCGACCACCAAAAGAGUUAACCCAAACCCUGCCCCGUCCAUCGUCCUUAUAGUUGUAACAGAAGGAGAAACAACCAACUCCUAUAACUCGCGAGUGACAGGGAAUCACUCGACUUUUACCGAUACCUAUUUAAGCAGUGCAACUACUCGACCCAACAACUAGUGUUCAGAUCAAAAGAACUAUGUCAUGCAUCUAAGGUUGCAAACAACUCCUAUACGUAAAUGCACAAACAUGAGAAAGAAGGCAUGCGCAAGUUUGGGAAACUUUGGGGUUCAUGCUCCGGGGCUUGCCUUCAAGCGGAGGGGAGGGGAACUGGUCUUCAGCUGGGGCGACUUCGGCUUCUGGAACUGGUAGCUCGGCUACAGCUCCGUCUUCUGGAACUGGGUGUAGCUCGUAGACACCAUCAGCGAGGUGCAACUCUACACGAAUGCAAUGCAGGAGUUAGUGUUUAGACGGUUAUUUCAACAACACUUGCAGCGAGGCUACAGAAAAGGUGGGGAAGUUUACUUUAGUUGGUGGAGAGCAAGAUAAAAGGGUCGGAUUGGAAGAAACUUAUGAUCGGACCCUUACUAGAGGAAUAGCUGUGCUGGGGGUCCUCAGACUUAAUGUAGAGAAGUCCCCGAAAUCUUACACAGAUACCUUCGGGUCAAGGAAAAAGAUACAGCCGAGUCCUCGGGCGAGGCAGAUAAGGGUCGGCUAACAGACAGGGUCGGGCGAGACGGAAAAGGGGUCGGGCGAACAGAUAGGGUCGGGCGAACCGGUGAGGGGUCGGCAGCUUACCUUCGGUUUAUAGGUGGAGCUUUGGGGUCGGGAAGGAGUAGACUUGGGCGGAAGAUCUUAAGCACUAAGGCUUGGGUGGCGGCGAUGUCCGGCGGUGCUCCGGCGGCGGCGGAGCUCCUUGCGAGCAACAAGGAAGCUCUAGCACAGCGCGGAGGAGCAGGUGGCUGGGUGGAUUGCGAGGGGCGGGUGUUGAGCGGAGAUGAGAGUUCCUCAAGAACUUAGGUGGCGGCGCUCGAGCACGAAAUAGAGGAACAAGGCGGCGAGGCAACGAUGGCGAAGGGAACUCCAGUAGGACUCUGGCAUUCCCUUUUAUAGCUGCGCGGAAGAGAGAGAGUUGGAGUAGCACGAAGACCGGAAGAAAAGGAUGGAGUGCGCUGCCAUGGUGGCGAUUGAGCGGCGAUGGACGGUGGAACAGGACUUCGGAGAUAGCGUCCUCGGCUAUUGGGCACGGGAGACAAGGCGGCGCAGGCGCGGUUUUGCCGGGGCUGAGAUUUUGGCGGAGGCGGGCGUCUUCGAGCGGCGAAUUUGAUUGGUGUGACCGGGAGAACGGCACUACAAGCGAGGUUGCAAUAGGUGAAAAGACAGGCGGGCUGCGGCUGCGCGGGCGAGCGCGAAACAGCGGUUUGCCGAGCACAGUUCUGGCAAGGCGGACAAGGAACUGUCGCGGCCGGAGUCGGGGUUGGCGAUGGAGGAAUCGUCGCGUAGCGCGUGGGCGGCGCGAUUGUGGAGAGGCGGCGGAAAGGCCGGAAGGCAUCGGGCCUUGCAGCCGGGGAUCCGGUGAGAUGAUGAUGGGCGCGAGCCGCGAGGCGGUUUGACGCAGCAGGCGGUAAAGCUCUGCCACAGCGGCGACGGAGCACCAAGGCGCGGCCGGCGAGGGCGCGAGCGAGAUGAGGCGCUGCAGAAAGGGUUGCAGAGGGGCUUCCGCUGCGAUUGGGGAGGAGGGCGCGGGAAUCCAUCCUGUCGCGGCCGGCGACUGGGCGAAGCGGCGGGCGGCGGAGAAGUUGAGCCACGCGGCGGGGGAGCUCUGAAGCGGUGCAGGCCGCUCGAGUGCGUCUGCCUCGGGAGAUCCGGGGAAAAGAUUGCGGGUCCACCCGUCAGUCUCGGUUUCUCCUCUUCUUAAGAUUGAAAGGGACACUGUUGUUGAGACUUCAAAGGAACCGACGGGGUGGGUUGGGGUCUUCAGGGGUCGGGACCGGGAACUGGAGUGGAGCACUCCUGCUCGGGAAAAGCUGAGACAGAGGAAUUUUGGACUCGGAUUAAGAUUAACUCGAAUGAUUUGACCAGGGUCGUUACACCCCCCCCUCCUCCUCCCCUCACGCCGCCCCUUCCCCCUCCCCCCGUCGGAUGCCGCCUCCCUCCCGCCGGAUGCCGCCUCCCUUCUCCCCUUCUCCCCCGGCGGAGGCCAGAUCCGGGCGAGGAUGGGAGGGCGGCCCUCCCUCCCCCGCCGGACGGGCCAGAUCCGGGUGAGGAUGGGAGGCGGCCCUCCCUCCCCCGGCAGCCGCCCCCUCCCCUUCUCUCCGGCGCCUCUCCCCUCCAGGUCGGAUGCGGUGGCGGCUCCUCCCCUCAGCCGGAUCCGGCGGCGGCUCCUUCCCUCCCGGCCGGAUCCCCUCCCCUCGCGGCCGGAUCCGGCGGCGACCGGUCGCCCCCUCCCCUUCAACUUGGCGACAGGUGGCGUGGUAGCAGGUGGCGGCGGGUGACCCCCUCCCCUUCUCCUCGGUGGGUGGCGGUGGGUGGCCGGGCGCCCCCUCCCCUUCUCCCCGGCGACGCGCGGCCCGCCCCUCCCCUUCUACCCGGCGGAUGUGGCGGCGUGGUGGGCGGCGGCCGUGGCGAGGCGGUGUGGUGGGCGGCGGCCGUGGCGGCGGUGGUGGAGGCCGAUGGGCGGUGGCCGUGGCGAGGUGGCGUGGUGGGCGGCGGCUGUGGCGAGGCGGCGGCGGUGGAGGCCGGUGGUGGUGGCCGGCAGUGGUGGCGGCCGGCGUUUUUGGUUUUUUUUAUUUGUUUUCAAAAAAUAUGUUUGCCGAGUGUUUUUUGGGCACUCGGCGAAAACUUCACCGAGUGCCCGACAUAAAACACUCGGCAAAGUUAACUUUGCCGACUUAAAAUUUGCCGUGUGCCGUUUGCCGAGUGUUACACUCGGCAAAUGUUUCGCCAAGUGCCCCCGGCACUCGGCAAUUUUCCUGUGCCCCGUAAUGAAGCCUGAAAAGCGAUGAUGUUGCCUCCAAAUCUCCAAUCAAACUACAAAUGCGAUCUCCCUCAGUCUACCCAUGUAAUAAGUAUGUUUUGAGGGUAAAUAUUCACAAAUCCACCCUUUAGUGCAAUCGAAAGCUGAAUUUCAUCCAUUAGAUGCGAAACAUGCAAUCCAGAUAAGAUCCUAAAAACACAAUAUACUUUUACAAUCAACCCCCCGCGAUCCAUAUGUGACAUUUAGUAGUGACACCCUGUUUGAUAUUACAUUUGCACAAAAAUCCCUCCUUUGUCUUCUCCUCCACACCUCCUUUGCCUUCUGCUCCACUCCUCCCAGUUCGUAGUAGGUGGCAUACAAUAUUUGCAACUUGAAGUGUAGACGGAUUGCAACUCAAACGAUUGGUUGGAUGCAACUCCAGUUACAAACUGUGGGGGUGGUAUUUAUUGAACUGAGCUAGGAAUGUCCCAAUUUAAUGCGAGGCGGGUAAUAUAUGUCCUACAGUAUUUGCAACUUGGAGUGUAGACCGAUUGCAACUUGAACCAUUGGCUGGAUACGACUCUAGUUACAACUACGAGUGUGGAAUUUAUUGCACUGAGUUAGGAAUGUCCCAAUUUAACGCGAUGAGGAGUAGUAGGUGGCAUGCAGUAUUUGCAACUCGGUGUAUAGACCGGUUGCAACUUGAACAAUUAUUUGGAUACAACUUCAGUUGCAACUGCGGGUGGUAUUUAUUGCAUCGAGUUAGAAAUGUCCCUUUUCACACUAGAACGGCUUGGGUGUUAAAUGCGAAAUGUUCCAUGUGGUGGCGGGGGGGUUAGAUGCAAAUUUUGCUGCAGGUCUCGGGAGGCUCAUCCGGAUCGCACAUUUUAGAACUGACGGUCUGCAACUGGGUUUCCAUGGAGGGUAGGUUUGCAUUGAAUAUUUACCCAUAUUUUGAUAGGAGAAGAAUUUUUCAAAUUAAGUUUUGACCAUUAAUUUCUUUUAUUGAAGUAUAUUAUCACUUACUAAAAAACACAAGUCUGUCUCAGAAUUACUAUGAGUAAAAACUUGUUGGUCCAAUUUUUAGAUAGACAUGCAUAUAAUCUGAUUAACUGUCGGUCCAAACUUAUGAUUUGAAUUUCAUUAUUUUUUUCAGAGUCAAGACACGUCUUGCAUUGACAAAAGGAACUCCUACAUGUGACGUUGAAUUGUCAAGAACUCGACGUAAUAAUAGUAUUAUCGUUGCAAGAAAUGAGUAUCUGUUACAAAUCUCACUCACUAGUCACUACUGCACAAAAUUCUAAUCCCGCCACUGCUUUGGUCUCUUCUUCGUUCUUCUCCCCGUCGUGGCCCGUGUUCUCACGAUCCACAACACAAACUGCCCGGCCCAGCCCGUUUACAGACCCGUGGUUGAACACUUGAACUUCACUGAACCCAAUGGAAGCCGGAAGUAAAAACUGAGCCAGGUAAGUUGAGCAACCUUAAAGAAAAAAGAUGCAUCGAUCCAAGCCAAAAAAAAAAAAGCACUGCUUCGGAGGUGUGCCUGCGCGCGCGCGCGUGCGCCGGCCCGAAGCAGGCGUUUUGAAUUUGACUGAAAGCGGCAGAGUACGUACGCAAGUUGCAGCCGGAAAAAAUUGCCAAGUGGUGUAGCGCUUUCUUCCCGUUUUGGAAGUUGUGGAGUGUUGUUGCCGGAAUGUGGGCUACUGCUCCAUCGUCUCUACUUGCUCGCGAUGUUUCUCGAUCGUGUAACAAGUUUUGUAAACUAUCCAUGUGUGCUCACCCUUAUAGCACGCAUUAUAUACGCACUACGUAAAACACAACAAGAGGCUGAGUUGUACUCCCUCCGUUUUAAAUUAUAAGUCAUUCCAACCUUCUUGGAGAGUCAAAGCAUCUCAAGUUUGACCAAAUUUAUAUAAUAAAGUGCUAAAAUUCAUGAUAUCAAAUAUGUACCAUUAGUUUCUUCAUUAAAUAUAAAAUGGUUUGACUCUCCAAGAAAGUUAGAAUGACUUAUAAUUUGGAAUGGAGGGAGUACUGUAUAUGAAAACGGCAAGCACAUAGCACAUGCUUGGUUGCUGGCCUUCAGUAGCCACGCGUCACAGAUGUGGCGUCAAAUACAACUGCGAAAUGCUGUGGCAGCAAAGGUAAGUAAACAACCAAGUAGGGGCUUCGAUUAGCGUGGCUGCCCAUCAAACACUCAAGCCCAUGACGCCAUGCUAACUCAGAGAUUUGACUUUGUUAGAUCAAUUGAACUCGGAUGGCACACAAGUUACAAUUUAUAAUGAAUCUUCCUUCAUUAUUACUUCCGAUUUUUCACUAUAUUAACUCAAUGUAAUCUUUGAGUUCGAGCCCUAUAAAGUAUUGAUGCUCCAAGUAUUACUGAUAUGUAGCUGUCCAUUAGUAAAGAAUAACAUCAGGCUCAAUUGAUUGAUAAACCAUCUGUUUCAAAUUGUAAAUCGUUUUGGUUUUUUAAAUACAUAUAUAGUUAUUGCUAUGCAUAUAGAUAUAGGUUAUGUCUAAAUACAUAGCAAAAUCUAUGUAUUUAAAAUAGCAAAAUAACCUACAUUUUAUAAUGAAGGGAGUACAUAUUAUAAGAUUGGCGAACCUAAGCAUUUAUACCACGGGACUAUAAAAAUGGAUGUUCGUUAGGAAAACGAAAAUGGUUUGUGUGGAGUAUAAUCUUAGUAUUGAUUUAUUCUUUUUAAACAAAGAUAUCGAGAGCUUUGUCACACAUAUAUUAAUAAAAAGAGGAGAAGAGACAUCGGCCUACUAGCUAGCCUCACCUGAAUUUUAUAUCCUUAAAUCUUUAUCAAUAUUUUAUUAAGAACUCUCAUUCCUCUUACCUCUAGUCGUUCAUCUGUCAUACUGCCCGAGUAGUAAUUAACGGAGUUGCAUGUAUCGACCAGUUCGACUUAAAAUUUUAAAUUAACAAGCACAUGCUUCCUCUUUUUAUCGGCCUCCGGAGACGGCUCUCAUGACCGCUCUAUGCCGUCAAGCUAGCCCAUGCAUUAGAGCGAGUUUCUUCGCUUCAACCCUCCUCACUGGCCACCCCGUGCCACCCAGCUGCUCAGCACCGUGACAGCUAUUCUUAUCCUGAUCUUGUUUUUUCUUUCUCAACACAAGAAAACUGAAGCUUGUAAGUUGACUCAUGACCUGUACGUACUGUACGUAGCACGCCGGUGCCUUGAUGGCUUGAUCCAAGUCAAAAUUUUACAUCUGGUUGCAGCAGAUUUUUUUUUUUAGGAUCAUCUGGUUGGAGCAACUUGCACACAGAUCUCUACAGUGCCAAUAUGGCAAUAUACUACACAUUGCCGGUCCAGGGUGCAGAGCCCAACCAUGUUGCUCCUGCAAGUUGCGGCUGGAUAAACAUUACACGUUUUGCUCUGUUGGACUGAUCGUUUGUAAACUGUUGAACAGAUUCACAGAGCCCAACCACGUUAAAAGAUGCUCUUUUUUUUAAAAAAAAAAUAGAAUUUGAAUCAAGGCAUGUUGAAUGUUGUGAAGCAUCAAGUUGUGCAGCAUCCCUUCUGGAAUCUGGGCUACUAGUUCCUUUGUCUCUUCUCUGUUGCAAUUUUUAUCACAGAUCUGGAAGGAUUAAUUUUGUUUUGUUUGAGCAAGUACAAAUGCAGGGAAACUGGCUCUACUUGCUUCCUCAUUGCCCUCUCAGUUUCACAGUAUUGUCCUAGUCCACAUAAAAGUCACACACUCACACUACAAUUUGAACGAUUUUUUGAACUAAAUUUGAACGAAUUUCGUUGAUUGAAAAGUACAAACGCACUGCAAAGUGGCCGCCAUGCUUGCUUCCUUAAUACCCAAGAGAGUUCUUUACAACUCGCACAUCAAAGCGAGUAGCUACGUAUAGGAUCACUUGAAAAAGCAAAAAUAGGGCUCGUGGUCUGCUAACCCACAUGCCAAUGGGAUAAACAACUCUUGCAACAGAUCAGCUCCAGUUCAUUGGUUUCAACUCUUAGGCCCCGUUUUCUUCCACUGACUUAUUUUUAGCACCCAUCACAUCGAAUGUUUAGAUACUAAUUAGGAGUAUUAAACGUAAACUAUUUAUAAAACCCAUUACAUAAGACGAAUCUAAACGGCGAGAUGAAUCUAUUAAAC
This 40366-nucleotide long non-coding RNA is filed under the name Setaria italica (foxtail millet). Its description in RNAcentral is "long non-coding RNA (SITA_LNC000035)". The stretch from base 17495 to 17566 matches the Rfam family "tRNA". The record is from RNAcentral. Lineage: Eukaryota; Viridiplantae; Streptophyta; Magnoliopsida; Poales; Poaceae.